RNAcentral lists this ribosomal RNA (494 nucleotides) under uncultured bacterium. Its description in RNAcentral is "partial 16S ribosomal RNA". It matches the Rfam family "Bacterial small subunit ribosomal RNA", at positions 28 to 507 of the family's 1533-position model. The record is from RNAcentral.
GACGAACGCUGGCGGCGCGCUUAACACACGCAAGUCGAACGGAAAGGCCUGCUUUCCCUUGUGGAUUGCGGGUACUCGAGUGGCGAACGGGUGAGUAACACGUGAGUGAUCUGCCCCCAACUUGGGUAUAAGCCUGGGAAACUGGGUCUAAUUCCCGAUAGGACUGCAGGGUGGUGCCUGUGGUGGAAAACGAUUUUCUAGUGGUUGGGGAUGAGCUCGCGGCCUAUCAGCUUGUUGGUGGGGUAAUGGCCUACCAAGGCGGCGACGGGUAGCCGGCCUGAGAGGGUGGACGGCCACAUUGGGACUGAGAUACGGCCCAGACUCCUACGGGAGGCAGCAGUGGGGAAUAGUGCACAAUGGGCGGAAGCCUGAUGCAGCGACGCCGCGUGGGGGAUGACGGCCUUCGGGUUGUAAACUCCUUUCGACCGCGAGGAAGCCACCUGGUUGGAAGGGUGGUGACGGUAGUGGUAGAAGAAGCACCGGCUAACUACGUG